GAUGAACGCUAGCGGCAGGCCUAAUACAUGCAAGUCGAACGGUGUCUUCGGACAUAGUGGCGCACGGGUGCGUAACACGUAUGCAACCUACCUUACAUUGGGGGAUAGCCUUUCGAAAGGGAGAUUAAUACCGCAUAAGACAGUAACUAGGCAUCUAGUAGCUGUUAAAGAUUUAUCGAUGUAAGCUGGGCAUGCGACCAAUUAGCUUGUUGGUGAGGUAAUGGCUCACCAAGGCUAUGAUUGGUAGGGGAACUGAGAGGUCAAUCCCCCACACUGGCACUGAGAUACGGGCCAGACUCCUACGGGAGGCAGCAGUAGGGAAUAUUGGGCAAUGGACGCAAGUCUGACCCAGCCAUGCCGCGUGCAGGAUGAAGGCGUUAUGCGUUGUAAACUGCUUUUAUACAGGAAGAAACGACUCUUGCGAGAGGCAUUGACGGUACUGUAUGAAUAAGCACCGGCUAACUCCGUGCCAGCAGCCGCGGUAAUACGGAGGGUGCAAGCGUUGUCCGGAUUUAUUGGGUUUAAAGGGUGCGCAGGUGGUUUAUUAAGUCAGUGGUGAAAGACGGUCGCUCAACGAUUGCAGUGCCAUUGAAACUGGUAGACUUGAGUAAAGUAGAGGUGGGCGGAAUUGAUAGUGUAGCGGUGAAAUGCAUAGAUAUUAUCAAGAACUCCAAUUGCGUAGGCAGCUCACUUGGCUUUUACUGACACUCAUGCACGAAAGUGUGGGUAUCAAACAGGAUUAGAUACCCUGGUAGUCCACACUGUAAACGAUGAUAACUAGGUGUCGGCCGAAUCUGGUCGGUGCCACAGCGAAAGCGUUAAGUUAUCCACCUGGGGAGUACGCCCG
Molecule: ribosomal RNA, 847 nt
Filed under: uncultured bacterium
Lineage: Bacteria
Description: bacterial SSU rRNA
Rfam family: Bacterial small subunit ribosomal RNA
Source: RNAcentral